AAAUGUGCAAACAACUCAACAAAGCACUAACUGAAAGAGAGCUGCUACAAGUGAUGAGAACCAUCGAUCCAAAAGAAAAUGCUCCACACGUGCUCCUGUGCAGAAAAGGUCAUCUAAAUCUCUAGGAUCGCCUAAGCAGAAGAUGAAGGCUUCUUCCAAUAUUGUUGUAAAAAAUGUAACAGUACAUGUGAACUCCAGUUCAUCCUCUACUGUCAAUGUAACCUCCGGCCUGGCAAGUUCCCAAGUUGGCGGAAAUAAAAAAAGCAAAGAAAGUGCCAGCAAAACUACAAUGGCGACGCCACGCAGCUCCUGCGCCUUGCAACCCUCUCCUUGCCCGCACAGCAGGAGUGGGAGCAAGGAUGCCGAGGCAGUAGUUUAGGUUUGCCUCCACCUCCUCUCCUCUCUUCCCCUGCUCUCCACAUCUCUGACUUGGUUUUAGCUCUCAGACUUUUACUUUGCCUUUUCUGGGAAAAAAAUGGUAUGAAAUAUGAGAUAUGGACAUCAAGUUCACUUCUUUUCUUUUCAUCUGUAGUUGCCAGGAAGAGUAGGAAGAUGAGGCAGAGAAGGUUUCACAUGCCUCUUCUACUGAUAAGUCUUUUCUUUCCAGGAUUGCCAUGGUUCCUCCGGAGGGACAUAUCCCCUUUGACCCUCCACUGUCAAUGAUGCGAAAAACAUGGUGCUAGAGGACAAAAAAUCUAAGCAGAAUCUGCCACCAACUGUGCAAGUGUGCUUGUUCUUACGUCAACUAGGAGAUGAUGCAAGCCAAGGCGCUUACACCGAUUUAAGAUGAAAACAAACAAGUAUUAUUGGAGCCUGGACGAUGAUAUCAAAGGAAUUUCUUCUCUGAGCAAUGCAGGCCAUGAAGAACAGCAGCUAUGAAGACUUGUCUCAAAGAAAUCGUUCUAAACAUCCAGCGAUACAUCUGUCUAAGCUCUGCCUAUCUACAUGCCUUGCUCAUAACAUUGUAAAUGAUCGGUCGUAAGCUUCUUAGAAAACAUGUAUCAUCAGCAACCAUCUAUCUAUCAUCAAUCUGUACUUAUUUUCAUAUAUUUUCUUCUGUGUCUACAUAUUUUGAUGCACACUCUUUCAAUAGUUGGCUUGCUCUCGGCCUUUGCGCCAUGGGCGCAACGGGUCCUCUAGUAUAAAUAAUACCAAAGUGCUAUGUAUGUACAAAUGAUAUUACGAUAAUAGAAUUUAGUUGGAAGAAUGUGCCU
Long non-coding RNA from Aegilops tauschii subsp. strangulata, 1214 nucleotides. RefSeq lists it as uncharacterized. The record is from RefSeq and is a predicted model, not a curated record. Lineage: Eukaryota; Viridiplantae; Streptophyta; Magnoliopsida; Poales; Poaceae.